GUAGUCUGUGAUGAUGUAGUUCUUGGUUGGCCUGAAUUCUCUUUGGAAUAUGAGGGCAACUUAAGUCACUACCUCUUCUGAGACAC
Small nucleolar RNA from Anser brachyrhynchus (Pink-footed goose), 86 nucleotides. Ensembl annotates it as small nucleolar RNA, C/D box 11. Lineage: Eukaryota; Metazoa; Chordata; Aves; Anseriformes; Anatidae. The record is from Ensembl.